RNAcentral lists this ribosomal RNA (253 nucleotides) under uncultured bacterium. Its description in RNAcentral is "partial 16S ribosomal RNA". It matches the Rfam family "Bacterial small subunit ribosomal RNA", at positions 524 to 776 of the family's 1533-position model. The record is from RNAcentral.
UACGUAGGGUGCGAGCGUUAAUCGGAAUUACUGGGCGUAAAGGGUGCGCAGGCGGUUAUAUAAGACAGAUGUGAAAUCCCCGGGCUCAACCUGGGAACUGCGUUUGUGACUGUAUGACUAGAGUACGGUAGAGAGGGGUGGAAUUCCUGGUGUAGCAGUGAAAUGCGUAGAUAUCAGGAGGAACACCGGUGGCGAAGGCGGAUCUCUGGGCCGAUACUGACGCUGAGGAGCGAAAGCGUGGGGAGCGAACAGG